UUCGAGUCGUUGAUUUCACACUGCCGAGAAAAGCCUCUAGAUAGAAAAUAGGUGCCCGUACCGCAAACCGACACAGGUAGUCAAGAUGAGAAUUCUAAGGUGAGCGAGCGAACUCUCGUUAAGGAACUCGGCAAAAUGACCCCGUAACUUCGGGAGAAGGGGUGCUCUUUAGGGUUAACGCCCAGAAGAGCCGCAGUGAAUAGGCCCAAGCGACUGUUUAUCAAAAACACAGGUCUCUGCUAAACCGUAAGGUGAUGUAUAGGGGCUGACGCCUGCCCGGUGCUGGAAGGUUAAGAGGAGUGGUUAGCUUCUGCGAAGCUACGAAUCGAAGCCCCAGUAAACGGCGGCCGUAACUAUAACGGUCCUAAGGUAGCGAAAUUCCUUGUCGGGUAAGUUCCGACCCGCACGAAAGGCGUAACGAUUUGGGCACUGUCUCAACGAGAGACUCGGUGAAAUCAUAGUACCUGUGAAGAUGCAGGUUACCCGCGACAGGACGGAAAGACCCCGUGGAGCUUUACUGUAGCCUGAUAUUGAAAUUCGGCACAGCUUGUACAGGAUAGGUAGGAGCCUUUGAAACGUGAGCGCUAGCUUACGUGGAGGCGCUGGUGGGAUACUACCCUAGCUGUGUUGGCUUUCUAACCCGCACCACUUAUCGUGGUGGGAGACAGUGUCAGGCGGGCAGUUUGACUGGGGCGGUCGCCUCCUAAAAGGUAACGGAGGCGCUCAAAGGUUCCCUCAGAAUGGUUGGAAAUCAUUCAUAGAGUGUAAAGGCAUAAGGGAGCUUGACUGCGAGACCUACAAGUCGAGCAGGGUCGAAAGACGGACUUAGUGAUCCGGUGGUUCCGCAUGGAAGGGCCAUCGCUCAACGGAUAAAAGCUACCCCGGGGAUAACAGGCUUAUCUCCCCCAAGAGUUCACAUCGACGGGGAGGUUUGGCACCUCGAUGUCGGCUCAUCGCAUCCUGGGGCUGUAGUCGGUCCCAAGGGUUGGGCUGUUCGCCCAUUAAAGCGGUACGCGAGCUGGGUUCAGAACGUCGUGAGACAGUUCGGUCCCUAUCCGUCGUGGGCGUAGGAAAUUUGAGAGGAGCUGUCCUUAGUACGAGAGGACCGGGAUGGACAUACCUCUGGUGUACCAGUUGUCGUGCCAACGGCAUAGCUGGGUAGCUAUGUGUGGACGGGAUAAGUGCUGAAAGCAUCUAAGCAUGAAGCCCCCCUCAAGAUGAGAUUUCCCAACUUCGGUUAUAAGAUCCCUCAAAGAUGAUGAGGUUAAUAGGUUCGAGGUGGAAGCAUGGUGACAUGUGGAGCUGACGAAUACUAAUCGAUCGAAGACUUAAUCAAAA
This 1338-nucleotide ribosomal RNA is filed under the name Staphylococcus aureus. Its description in RNAcentral is "bacterial LSU rRNA". It matches the Rfam family "Bacterial large subunit ribosomal RNA", at positions 1585 to 2925 of the family's 2925-position model. Lineage: Bacteria; Bacillati; Bacillota; Bacilli; Caryophanales; Staphylococcaceae. The record is from RNAcentral.